GUGCCAGCAGCCGCGGUAAUACGGAGGGGGCUAGCGUUGUUCGGAUUUACUGGGCGUAAAGCGCACGUAGGCGGAUUUUUAAGUCAGGGGUGAAAGGCCUGGGCUCAACCCGGGAACUGCCUUUGAUACUGAGAGUCUUGAAUCCGGGAGAGGUAAGAGGAAUUCCAAGUGUAGAGGUGAAAUUCGUAGAUAUUUGGAAGAACACCAGUGGCGAAGGCGGCUUACUGGACCGGUAUUGACGCUGAUGUGCGAAAGCGUGGGGAGCGAACAGGAUUAGAUACCCUGGUAGUCCACGCUGUAAACGAUGGAUACUAGCUGUUGGAUCCGCAUUGGCGGAUUCAGUGGCUAAGCGAAAGUGAUAAGUAUCCCACCUGGGGAGUACGGCCGCAAGACUGAAACUCAAAGGAAUUGACGG
RNAcentral lists this ribosomal RNA (415 nucleotides) under uncultured bacterium. RNAcentral describes it as "bacterial SSU rRNA". It matches the Rfam family "Bacterial small subunit ribosomal RNA", at positions 505 to 916 of the family's 1533-position model. The record is from RNAcentral.